UUUCUCAGGAUCCCCCCUUCGGUAGAAAUGGGAAACAGAGGGGGCCAACGAGCUCCGGGUGAAAGUGGGCGUGGUUUUGAGAGAAACCCUAAGUUCUCCUCGAAUUAUCCACUAUUUCGUGAGUUGGGACCCUUGGGGGCCUCCUACCCCUUCUCGCCCAACGCCCGUACACACUUGCCAUUGGGUAGAAGCAGAAGAAGAAGCAGAAGAAGAAGAAGCAAAAGCUCUUUUUCUCU
Molecule: non-coding RNA, 236 nt
Organism: Caenorhabditis elegans
Lineage: Eukaryota; Metazoa; Nematoda; Chromadorea; Rhabditida; Rhabditidae
Source: Ensembl